GCUUACGGCCACACCGCCUGUUAUACGCUUGAUCUCGGAAGAUAAGGUAGGUUGGGCCUGGUUAGUACUUGGAUGGGAGACCGCCUGGGAAUACCAGGUGCUGUAAGCU
Ribosomal RNA from Scophthalmus maximus (turbot), 109 nucleotides. Lineage: Eukaryota; Metazoa; Chordata; Actinopteri; Pleuronectiformes; Scophthalmidae. The record is from Ensembl.